UUACUUAUCCGGCAGGGGAGAUACCAUGCUCUUGAAGGUGGUUUUCCCAGAGUGAGGCUGAUCCAUUGUACUGGGGAUCUGCUGACCCCUGUGACUUCCCCACAUGGGGGAAACUCAACUGCAUAAUUUGUGUUGGUGGGAGGCUGUGUGCGUGCUUUUCCCCG
RNAcentral lists this small nuclear RNA (164 nucleotides) under Dasypus novemcinctus (nine-banded armadillo). RNAcentral's name for it is "U1 spliceosomal RNA (ENSDNOG00000043801.1)". It matches the Rfam family "U1 spliceosomal RNA". From Rfam's summary of the family: U1 is a small nuclear RNA (snRNA) component of the spliceosome (involved in pre-mRNA splicing). The record is from RNAcentral. Lineage: Eukaryota; Metazoa; Chordata; Mammalia; Cingulata; Dasypodidae.